AUCUGCCUGGUAGUGGGGGACAACGUCUCGAAAGGGACGCUAAUACCGCAUACGUCCUACGGGAGAAAGCAGGGGACCUUCGGGCCUUGCGCUAUCAGAUGAGCCUAGGUCGGAUUAGCUAGUUGGUGAGGUAAUGGCUCACCAAGGCGACGAUCCGUAACUGGUCUGAGAGGAUGAUCAGUCACACUGGAACUGAGACACGGUCCAGACUCCUACGGGAGGCAGCAGUGGGGAAUAUUGGACAAUGGGCGAAAGCCUGAUCCAGCCAUGCCGCGUGUGUGAAGAAGGUCUUCGGAUUGUAAAGCACUUUAAGUUGGGAGGAAGGGCAGUAAAUUAAUACUUUGCUGUUUUGACGUUACCGACAGAAUAAGCACCGGCUAACUCUGUGCCAGCAGCCGCGGUAAUACAGAGGGUGCAAGCGUUAAUCGGAAUUACUGGGCGUAAAGCGCGCGUAGGUGGUUUGUUAAGUUGGAUGUGAAAUCCCCGGGCUCAACCUGGGAACUGCAUUCAAAACUGACAAGCUAGAGUAUGGUAGAGGGUGGUGGAAUUUCCUGUGUAG
This 559-nucleotide ribosomal RNA is filed under the name Pseudomonas sp. CH37. RNAcentral's name for it is "bacterial SSU rRNA". It matches the Rfam family "Bacterial small subunit ribosomal RNA", at positions 124 to 678 of the family's 1533-position model. Lineage: Bacteria; Pseudomonadati; Pseudomonadota; Gammaproteobacteria; Pseudomonadales; Pseudomonadaceae. The record is from RNAcentral.